Microcebus murinus (gray mouse lemur) is the source of this 838-nucleotide non-coding RNA. Lineage: Eukaryota; Metazoa; Chordata; Mammalia; Primates; Cheirogaleidae. The record is from RefSeq and is a predicted model, not a curated record.
UGCGCCAUGGCUAUGACUAAUGUCAGAUUGCUUGCUGGUAUUUUAAGAAAGCCAGAUGCCUGGAUUGGACUCUGGGGUGUGCUCCGACGGACACCUUCUUCACAUAAACCCUGUACUUCUUGAAAUCAAUACUUGUAUUUUUCAAGUACUGAGUUAAAUGCAUCAAAUUAUAAAACAUUUUUCCGUAAUAUUUUCUCACUGAGACUGCCAGGACUUUUAAUAUCUCCAGAAUAUGUUUUUUCCAUUUUCCGUAAGACUCAAAGGUAAUAUAACUCUAAAAAAAUCCACUAAAACGUCUCCACAAAAAGUCGAAGAUGAAGAGGACUCUGAUGCAGAGGAGGAUGACAAUGAAAUGAGUGAGAUGGAAGAGGAGCUUGAGGAUGACCCUAGUGUGGUCAAAGAGUAUAAAGACUUGGAAAAAGGAGUGCCAUCUUUUCGGUAUGAUGUUAUCCUGAAGACGGGCCUAGAUGUUGGGAGAAACAAAGUGGAAGAAGCAUUCUACAAAGGUGAACUGAGGCUGAAUGGGGAAAAAUUAUGGAAGAAAAGCAGAACGGUGAAAAUGGGAGAUACAUUGGAUCUUCUCAUUGGAGACAGUAAAGAAGCAGAAGCAGAGACAGUGAUGCAGAUUCUCCUGAAAAAAGUGUUUGAAGAGAAGACUCAAAGUGAAAAAUACAGAGUGGUGUUACGACGGUGGAAGAAUUUAAAGUUGCCUAAGAAGAGUGUGUCUAAAUAAGUGGAUUGCUUUUUAGUGAUAAAGCUGCUUUCUAGUGGCGGUGGUGGGGGCAACUUAAAAAGAGGACAUUUUUAUUAAAAUAAAGUUCUCUUACCAUUUGUGGAA